Molecule: ribosomal RNA, 253 nt
Filed under: uncultured bacterium
Lineage: Bacteria
Description: partial 16S ribosomal RNA
Rfam family: Bacterial small subunit ribosomal RNA
Source: RNAcentral
UACGUAGGGAGCAAGCGUUGUCCGGAAUCAUUGGGCGUAAAGCGCGCGUAGGUGGCCUCAUAAGUCCGCUGUGAAAGUCAAAGGCUCAACCUUUGAAAGCCGGUGGAUACUGUGGGGCUAGAGUACGGAAGAGGCGAGUGGAAUUCCUGGUGUAGCGGUGAAAUGCGCAGAUAUCAGGAGGAACACCGGUGGCGAAGGCGGUUCUCUGGGCAUUACCUGACGCUGAGGAGCGAAAGUGUGGGGAGCGAACAGG